AAUUUGAAGAGAGGAAACACAGUAACACUGCAUUUUUAUAUAAAAUAUGAUACCUUUUGAUUGGAAAAAUAACCAGCCAAAAAUAAAAAGAAAACAAUUCAUGUAUCUCAAAAAUAAAAGGGUUCUAGGUUGGAGGCGUUAGCAGCAUUUUGGCUGGGGUAUAUGGGAGGCAAUAUGGAAACCAUCAAACUUGUUCUCACGUCAUUCUGCAAGUCCUGGUGUCCUGAGGAGUUCAAGCAUUUCAUUUUAAAUAAAUAUAUUGGCACCAUGUGCUCUCUGUAAUACUAAAUGAUGUACUAGGCACUGAUGGAUUCCAGAUGGAGUAAGGACAUGAAAUUAAGCUGGGGCAAUGAGUUUGGAUGAAGAACAGAACAGAGGUAAAGGGCCCUGUCAUCACAUCACAUGAGAAAGUCCAUGUUAUCAACAUGACAUCACUGGUGGUGCUAGCCAUGAUCACUGGGAGAAUAUAUAUGUAGAGGAAAUACAUCACACAGAUAUUUGGAGAAGACUAUUUCAGGUGUGCUGAAGCCCUAUCCCCAAGAUGACUAUAUUUGGAGACAGGAUUUUUGGAGGAAUAUUUCAUCUUUUGGUUUAGAAAUUCAAAGCAUUCAAGUUUAUUAAGGU
This 624-nucleotide long non-coding RNA is filed under the name Homo sapiens (human). RNAcentral's name for it is "HSALNT0127935". Lineage: Eukaryota; Metazoa; Chordata; Mammalia; Primates; Hominidae. The record is from RNAcentral.